Molecule: long non-coding RNA, 771 nt
Filed under: Ictidomys tridecemlineatus (thirteen-lined ground squirrel)
Lineage: Eukaryota; Metazoa; Chordata; Mammalia; Rodentia; Sciuridae
Description: lncRNA (ENSSTOG00000033705.1)
Source: RNAcentral
UAAACUCAUCUUUCUCUGUCUUUAGAGUAUCAGAAGACCAAAGUUUGACCCAAUCUUAUGGAAAGAUAUUUGUGAUUCUUCAUUGCUUUCCCUCAUGAUAUUCCUUUCCUCGUGUGCAGGGUACCCACUACUCACUCCCAAUCUGAUCUUCAAGUGGGAACAAGAGGAGGAACUGCAGGCAGUGAAGACAGAAAGUAUCCAGGGCAUCUGUAUGGAGCAGCACCAGGAAGGGUUUGAAUCUCUACUUAAUACGAAGGAAUUAGUUGCUCUUCAAGACAACAAUAGAGAAAAAAUAUCCAAUGAACAGAAAAUAGAGAGAUUCAAAGGAAAUGGUUCCUGCUCCUCUAUUUUAUAUGAAAACCAGGACUCCCAUGGUGUGGAUGAUUGGAACAAAAGCCAUGAGAAAGGAUUAAGGUGAGUGCCCUUCAUAUAAGAGAAGGUAGUGCAUCAGGAAGCAAUUUUGAGAUUUAAGAAACAUAUUUUGGGGCUGGGGUUGUAGCUCAGUGGCAGGCAGAGUGCUUGCCUCCCACAUGUGAGGACUGGGUUCAAUCCUCAGCAUCACAUAAAAAUGAAUAAAUGAAAUAAAGAUAUUGCAUCCAUCUAUACCUAAAAAAUAUUUCUUAAAAAGAAAUAUAUUUUCAACAUAAACCUAGGUCAAAAAUUAUGCUUUCAUAAGAAUGAAAUCAUGACAUUUGCCAGUAAAUGGAUGAAGCUGGUGCAAGGAACCAAAGGCCAAGUGUUUUCUUUAAUAGUUGGAUGCUAAUUCACAAU